UCAGCCAAAAAAACUCAUUAUGCAUUGCUACUCACAAAUGACCACUUCAAAGAACAUGCAAGUAUCUAUGUCAUUAACAAUUGCAAACAUAAGUUUAUUUUUACUACAGUUGUUGUGCGUACUAUCACAUAGCUCCUCAUUCCGUUCACACUCAAUAAUAAGAAAAAUGAAAAGAAAAGAUAGAGAUAAUCUGCCAAAAUUGCACUUCGGUGUCAUGGAUUCAGUGUGCCGCUUCAACAUCUCAUUAUCCUGCAGCACUCUGUCGCCAUCUUCUACCUGUGAAUAAAAACAGACCUUACUUGUCAGAGAAGCAAAUGUGAAACCUUAUUACAACAUGUAUGCUAAGUCGCUAACCCAUAGAGACAGCUAGAACAAAUGUGAAAACUUUCCAUGUUGCCGAGUAAGUAUAUGAGCACCCCGCAAAACAUCAAUUAGCAAGUACUUGACACAUACAAACUUGUACAGAAAAAAUAACACUUCCUAAUUUAAUAGGCUUCAAAGAUUGCAAGGAAGGCAUACUGAUGAGCUGCAAUGCAAUCUUCAAUGUUCAGUACUUGUACACGCUAUGCUCCUGUGGUGCAACCCCUAGCUCAUAUGGCUUCAAAAAGUCUACAUUGUAUAGGACAUUUUUUAGCAAAGGGUGAAACUGCAUACCUGUACAUCUCAAAUCAUAUGUAGUAUGUGUCUAGUCAUCCUGCGAUUGCCCGAUCUCAGAACUUUAUUUCUUAUAAAAACUUUAGACAUGUUCAGGAAACACAUGUAGUUAACAAAAAGUGUACAUAUCACCCAUUUUAUAGGUUCAAAGAUAGAUAACAAAAGGACCAUGUUCAAGUCCCCAAUGGACCACAAUCCCUGACAGGAAUAUCGUUGUUCUUUCUUCAAAUUACCAUACACGGGGAAACAAUGACAAGACUGGAUUGUUUUAAACUCUCAUCGGACAGAGGAAUAAAAAAUGUGAGAGAGAGAGAGGACCUUCUAUCGUGUGGUCAGUACCAGGGUCGGAGCAGCCACUCGCCUCGUCGUCGUCCUCUCACAGCAGCAGAUUUCUGCUUGACAAGCAGAUAGGAGCACAAAACGCAUGCAUCAGGUGGCGUCAAGCACAUGGUUGCAUGUAUAACAAAAGGAAAUUGAUGUUAUAACAUGUUAAGUUACAAAAGAUGCAAAUAGUUCAGUUCCAAAAAUAAUUACUUGUUGUGGUGCAGCAAGCAGCCGGAGGAAGGAGACGAACAGAGGUUAAGGGGGAGAAGAGAAAUGCUUACCUUUCCCCACUUUGGAGGAGAACCAUUGUAAAUUUGAAUAAAGUGUAAAGAUUGAGAAAAGUUACUAAACAACAGAAGCAGAGGCCAAAAUUCAAAAGGUUAUGAAGAAGCUACUCCAACAGUUAGGAAUUUUUCCUGCAUGGAGUAUUACAGUAACACAAGGAUUUUGCCUGCAUAAGAACAGGGCCUUCAGGAUGUUCCUCUGAAUUUUGUUGUCCCAUGUUUCUUUAAGGAACGGCCAUAUAUUUUUAAUCUUUCAGAAUAGAUCAGUACUGAUACUAUGUUCCAAAUUGUACUCCCAAACUGGUAAAUAAAUUACAGUAACAAUAAGUUCAGUUUUCAUGUACUAAUUCUGCCAUAAAUUCAGUUUUCAAGAUUCUACACUAAAUAUGCAGUGUUAUACUAGUUACAUUUUGAUUUUUGCGGGCAAUUUGAUGCAUGGCUCACUCACCUAUUUGGAACACAGGGAACAACUUCUAUCUAUACGUGGACAUUCAAUAGAACAACUGAGAGAGGGAGCUGAAAUCAGUGCAAGAGCAGCAGAGGUGAGUGCUGAUUAGAAGGUUAUCCACCUUUGUGAAAUUCUGAAGAUGCCAAACUACAGUCACCUCAAAUCUGCUUGCACUUACUUUGGCAAGACCAAACUAAGACCGAUCGAGGAUCCAUCUAUAGAAAAAGACAACAUCCAUCUAAGCAGUUUGAAUUCAAUCAAGGAUCAUAGAUUAUUAUCAGUCAAUUAUUUCUGAUUAGUAAGCAUUGAGUCUUAAUAGGGAUUUCGUAUGCCAGAUCCGUUCUAUAAUGAGAUCCUACAACAUUUAUACAUAGACAGAGAAAAAGAAGAAGAAAAUGCUACUAAUACUUGGACUUGGCAGACUAGUGAAUACUGAACCCCUACCAAGAAAUCUUGUUAGGUUCAUCAGGAGAAUUCCUGGAAGUAGAAUGUUGCACAACCAUAGCAAUCAGUUCAAUGAUCAAAGCUUUUGCUACACCAACCAUAGCCGAUAAGUGCUUCGAAGCCAUAACAAAAAGAGUAAAUUUAACACAGCCUAGUGGGCUGCAGAAAUACUGUAAAUGCCACUAUCAGUCAGUGCACCUUGACCUUGUCAAUAAUAGGACUACUAGAAGUAAUUAAUCUGGAGAAGAAUCGCCUUGUUAAUUUGGAGUAUUUAGCACCACCGCAUAAUGCCACAACUGUAGUUCACAUCCUUUAAAGGAUUACUACCCCUUCAAGUGUGAUUAAUCAGACUUGACAGUACAAAUUAAAUCAGACUUCAGGGGUUCCCCUAACUUAUAGUACUCAAUGCAUCAAAAUUUUAGAGACAAAUACAGCAAUACACUAGUCAGACCAAAAAGAUCAAAAAUUCAGACUUGGGCACAAGGAGGAGGACCUGCAGACUUGCAGAGCACUUGGGCCCGAGGCCGAUGAGUACUUGGGCAUGGCGAUUUGAAGCUAGGGUUCGGGGCCGGCACAAGAGCAUGAUGAGGAGGAGGAUCCGCGCAUGGACGCCUGCUAGGCCGUGAACGCAGGACACGGAUCUCGCGCGUGAACGCGGGAAGCAGCGGGUGGGUCGCGGCGGCCUGAGCUAGGGCUUCAGGAGCUGAGAGAGGCAGCGG
This 2873-nucleotide long non-coding RNA is filed under the name Triticum aestivum (bread wheat). RNAcentral's name for it is "long non-coding RNA (TAES_LNC002886)". Lineage: Eukaryota; Viridiplantae; Streptophyta; Magnoliopsida; Poales; Poaceae. The record is from RNAcentral.